RNAcentral lists this long non-coding RNA (522 nucleotides) under Salmo salar (Atlantic salmon). RNAcentral describes it as "lncRNA (ENSSSAG00000121781.1)". Lineage: Eukaryota; Metazoa; Chordata; Actinopteri; Salmoniformes; Salmonidae. The record is from RNAcentral.
GAGGAGAUGAUGGAGGCUUGGAGUAGGGGAGGAGAGGUGUGAGGAGAGGAGAUGGAGGCUUGGAGAGGUCAGAGGAGAGGAGAUGAUGGAGGCUUGGAGUAGGGGAGGAGAGGUGUGAGGAGAGGAGAUGAUGGAGGCUUGGAGUAGUGGAGGAGAGGUGUGAGGAGAGGAGAUGAUGGAGGCUUGGAGUAGUGGAGGAGAGGUGUGAGGAGAGGAGAUGAUGGAGGCUUGGAGUAGUGGAGGAGAGGUGUGAGGAGAGGAGAUGAUAGAGGCUUGGAGUAGUGGAGGUGAGGUGAGAGGAGAGGAGAAGAUGGAGGCUUGGAAUAGGGGAGGAGAGGUGAGAAGAGAGGAGAUGAUGGAGGCUUGGAGAGGUCAGUGGAGAGGAGAUGGAGGCUUGGAGAGGUCAGAGGAGAGGAGAUGGAGGCUUGGAGUAGGGGAGGUGAGGUGUGAGGAGAGGAGAUGAUGGAGGCUUGGAGUAGUGGAGGAGAGGUGUGUAGAUGAUGGAUGCUUGGAGUAGGGGAG